RNAcentral lists this long non-coding RNA (620 nucleotides) under Pan troglodytes (chimpanzee). Its description in RNAcentral is "lncRNA (ENSPTRG00000052930.1)". The record is from RNAcentral. Lineage: Eukaryota; Metazoa; Chordata; Mammalia; Primates; Hominidae.
CAAGAGCAGUAGGAGAGUUCACAGAAUUCUGCCAUUUGGGAAAGUAGCUUUUAGGGGCGCAGCGGAUUCACCAUGCCCUCCAUUAAGUGAUGGUGGUGACCGGCACUAAGCAGGAGUGACUCAUGAAACCUGUAAAGUCCAGGAGACAGCAAGAUGCCCAGGAGAAAUAGGCUAGAGGAGCUUGAUGGUUAUCCACACAGGCGAUACCUUCUCAGCAAUGCUAUGGAAUAAGAAAGAACGUGAAACACCUCCAGCUGAAUUUUUUAUUUCAUAUUUAGUGUCAAGCCUCCCAGAGACAGAGAUUUGUCCGGGAUGUCUAAAAAACUUAGUACAACCCAUUGUCUGCAUCAUAGACUCAAAAUUCCAGAGUAGACUUCGGACUCAGUCAUCUCAAGGAUGUAGCUAUAGUCUUGUGAGCUAUUUAAAGUGAGAUGGAUUUUCAUCUAUAAAUGUUGUUUUCAAAAAUAAUUCCAGUGAAUUAUGAUAAGGCUGAGUUAAAAAGACAACAUUAAAUUACCUUAACAUUUUAAACGAGAGUCAAUGCUGAACUUUGUUAACAAGAAUGCUUACGAAAGGAGGGCCAUGGAAGAGGAUUUUUGUUUGUUUGUUUGUUUGCUUGC